Molecule: ribosomal RNA, 444 nt
Filed under: uncultured Anaerolineaceae bacterium
Lineage: Bacteria; Bacillati; Chloroflexota; Anaerolineae; Anaerolineales; Anaerolineaceae
Description: bacterial SSU rRNA
Rfam family: Bacterial small subunit ribosomal RNA
Source: RNAcentral
ACAAGCAGCGGAGCGUGUUGGUUUAAUUCGUUGCUACACGAAGAACCUUACCUGGGUUUGACAUAUAGGUUGUAGGGAACUGAAAAGGACCGACCCUUCGGGGAGCCUAUACAGGUGUUGCAUGGCUGUCGUCAGCUCGUGUCGUGAGAUGUUCGGUUAAGUCCGCUAACGAGCGCAACCCUCGUCGUAUGUUAUAUGUGUCAUACGAGACUGCCGGUAAAAAGCCGGAGGAAGGUGAGGAUGAUGUCAAGUCAGCAUGACCUUUAUAUCCAGGGCUACACACACGCUACAAUGGUCUGUACAAUGGGUAGCCAAGCCGCGAGGCGGAGCCAAUCCUGAAAGCAGGCCUCAGUUCAGAUUGCAGUCUGCAACUCGACUGCAUGAAGCCGGAGUUGCUAGUAACCGCAGGUCAGCAAUACUGCGGUGAAUACGUUCCCGGGUCUU